CACGAACGCUGGCGGCGUGCCUAAUACAUGCAAGUCGAGCGGACAAGAAGGGAGCUUGCUCCCGGAUGUUAGCGGCGGACGGGUGAGUAACACGUGGGUAACCUGCCUGUAAGACUGGGAUAACUCCGGGAAACCGGAGCUAAUACCGGAUAGUUCCUUGAACCGCAUGGUUCAAGGAUGAAAGACGGUUUCGGCUGUCACUUACAGAUGGACCCGCGGCGCAUUAGCUAGUUGGUGGGGUAAUGGCUCACCAAGGCGACGAUGCCGUAGCCGACCUGAGAGGGUGAUCGCCACACUGGGACUGAGACACGCCCAGACUCCUACGGGAGGCAGCAGUAGGGAAUCUUCCGAAUGGACGAAAGUCUGACGGAGCAACCCGCGUGAGUGAUGAAGGUUUUCGGAUCGUAAAGCUUUUUUGUUAGGGAAAACAAGUCCGAAAUAACUUGCUCGACCUUGCGGUACCUAACCAGAAAGCACGGUUAAUUACGUGCCAACAGCCGGGUAAUACCGAAGUGGCAAGCCUUGCCCGAAAAUUUUGGCCGAAAAGGCUUCGAAGCGGUUUUUUAAGUUUGAUGGUAAACCCCCCGCUCUACCGGGGGGGUUGUUGGUAACUGGGAAAUUUUGCCCAAAAAAAGGAAAAGAGAGUUACCCCAUGGGGGGGAAAAAACCCAAAAAAGUUGGGAAAAAACCCCGGGGGGGAGGGCCAUUUUUUUGGUUGUAAAACCCCCUUUAGAAAGAAAAACCCGUGGGGGAAAAAAAAAAGUUUAAAUGACACUUGGGGCGCCCCCCCCCCAAAAAAAAAAGGGGGGUUAAUGGGGGGGGGGGGGUUUCCCCCCCUUUUAGGGGGGGGGGAAAAAAAGAAUAAAACCC
RNAcentral lists this ribosomal RNA (870 nucleotides) under Bacillus sp. ENDO5. RNAcentral's name for it is "partial 16S ribosomal RNA". It matches the Rfam family "Bacterial small subunit ribosomal RNA", at positions 28 to 867 of the family's 1533-position model. The record is from RNAcentral. Lineage: Bacteria; Bacillati; Bacillota; Bacilli; Caryophanales; Bacillaceae.